Molecule: ribosomal RNA, 400 nt
Filed under: uncultured bacterium
Lineage: Bacteria
Description: bacterial SSU rRNA
Rfam family: Bacterial small subunit ribosomal RNA
Source: RNAcentral
GGGGAAUAUUGCACAAUGGGGGAAACCCUGAUGCAGCGACGCCGCGUGAAGGAAGAAGUAUCUCGGUAUGUAAACUUCUAUCAGCAGGGAAGAAAAUGACGGUACCUGACUAAGAAGCCCCGGCUAACUACGUGCCAGCAGCCGCGGUAAUACGUAGGGGGCAAGCGUUAUCCGGAUUUACUGGGUGUAAAGGGAGCGUAGACGGCAUAACAAGUCUGAUGUGAAAGGCUGGGGCUUAACCCCGGGACUGCAUUGGAAACUGUUAAGCUUGAGUGCCGGAGGGGUAAGCGGAAUUCCUAGUGUAGCGGUGAAAUGCGUAGAUAUUAGGAGGAACACCAGUGGCGAAGGCGGCUUACUGGACGGUAACUGACGUUGAGGCUCGAAAGCGUGGGGAGCAAAC